Long non-coding RNA from Loxodonta africana (African savanna elephant), 9139 nucleotides. RefSeq lists it as uncharacterized. The record is from RefSeq and is a predicted model, not a curated record. Lineage: Eukaryota; Metazoa; Chordata; Mammalia; Proboscidea; Elephantidae. The transcript is spliced from 2 exons.
GAGCAGAUAAGGGCCGAGGUCUGGCCUGCGGUGAGACAGUGCGGGACGCUGCCUCCGCCCCUGGCUCCAAGAGCCGCCCCGCACUCUGCGUUCCCACUCCCCGCCCGGGGCCAGGCAUCGUGGGUUGGAGACCUGAGGGAGGAGUGGGGGAUGGGGCUCACUCACAGUCUCUGGACAAGUGACAAGUGACAGCUGGGCUCCAAACCUCAGUUAGCUCAGCUGGAAAAUGGCGGCAGGAGCCCCACUUACCCCACAAGGCUGUUGGGGAUGGAACAAGUGCAGACUUGUGAAGCCCUCUAUGGGUUUGGGCCUUUUUUUUUUUUUUUUUUUUCAAUUUUAUCUUAUUGUGGUAAAAUAUAACAAAACUUUGCUAUUUUAAUCAUUUUUAAGUGUACAAUUCAGUGACAAGAAACAUUUUUAUGCGUUAACAAAAAAUAGGCUACAGUGUAUGUAGAACAGGGCAUCAGGAUUGGAGGAAGACCUGCGAUAUAGAGAGAACACGACCUUGUUUGCUGAAAGCAAAGAGGACUUGAAACACUUACUAAUGAAGAUCAAAGACUACAGCCAUCAGUAUGGAUUACACCGCAACAUAAAGAAAAGAAAAAUCAUCACACUGCACCAGUAAGCAACAGCACGAUAAACAGAAAAGAUUGAAGUUGUUAAGGAUUUUAUUUUACUUGGAUCCACAAUCAACACUCAUGGAAGCAGCAGUCAAGAAAUCAAACGAUGUAUUUGCAUUGGGCAAAUCUCCUGCAAAAGACCUCUUUAAAGUGUUAAAAAGCAAAGAUGUCACUUUGAGGACUAAGGUGCACCUGACACAAAAAGCCAUGGUAUUUUCAGUUGCCUCAUAUGCAUGUGAAAGCUGGACAAUGAAUGAGGAAGACCGAAUGAGAAUUGAUGCCUUUGAAUGAUGGUGUUGGUGAAGAAUACUGAGUAUACCAUGGACUGCCAGAAAAACGAACACAUCUGUCUUGGAAGAAGUACAGCCAGAGUGCUCCUUAGAAGGGACGACGGCGAGACUGUUUCACUUACUUCGGAUAUGCUAUCAGGAGGGCCCAGUCUCUGGAGAAGGACAUCAUGCUUAGUAAAGAAGAGGGUCAGUGAAAAAGAGGAAGACUCUGAACAAGAUGGACUGACACAGUGGCUGCAACAAUGGACUCAAGCAUAAUAAUGAUUGUGAGGAUGGCACCUAACAACAACAUCAACACUAUAUGUAAACUAUAUUAAAAAAAAAAAAAACAACUUUAAUAUGCCGCCAACAUUUUGCCACGUUUAAACGUCUCUGUAACAACUCUUUUAAUGACAACCUAAAAUUCUGUACCAUGUGUGAAAUAUGCAUGCAAACACCUACUGUCCAUUCAUCUCAAAUAUUUAGCGAACAACUGUUGGUUGCCAGGCUUUUGCUUGAACGUUAAGGCUGACUGCAGUAUCUUACUAUUAUAAUAGUAAUGCUAUUAUUAAUCACGUGCUGCUGAAUAUCUGUGGGGCUCAGCGUGUGGAUCUGUAACAAUUGCCUCAGGAAAAAUUCCCAGAAGUGGCAUUUCUGGAUUAAAGAGGAGGCACGCUUUAAAGCUACAUUACCCUACAAUUAGGUUUCUACCAGUUUGCACGGACAGUUGCUUCCUAUGUAUAGCUUCGGUUUGGGCCUUUUUUAAAAGGUGGGUACACUAAGCUCCCCUGACUGCCCCUGCUGUACCCCAGACUCUCCAGUCCUCAUCCCCACUGUCUAGAUGGGAAAAUUGGGGGUCUCUGCAAAGUCUUAGAGCCAGCAAGCAAGAAGCAAAUGGGGAGGGGGUGUGGAACAGUAGUCAGGCCACACUCUUUCUACUGCCCCCAUCCUGGGGACAGAGCUAGGUUUUGCAGAGCCUGAGGUAUAUACAAUUUGGGGGGCCCCUGUUAAGAAAAAGAUAGAAAAUCACGAACACAAAAUUGCUGUGGCCUCUCUCGGGGCCUUGAAAGGGGCCCAAGCAAGUGUCCAGCUUCCUUGCAGCACCCUGCAGACCCCUGGAGGGGGUUACACCCCGCUCCCAGAGACAGUCAGAGACUAGCACAGUUACAGGGCAGGUGGCCCAAGACAACAGGGCAGGGACUGCUGGAAUGAGGUGCCACUGCAGCUGGUCCCCAAGCCCUUGCAUGCCCAGGCAGCUGCCCCCAAACCCAAGAGUAAGGGCAGCUGGGCUUUUGGGGAAAUGCCCCACAAGCCCUCCAGUCCCGCCCAGUCAUGGUUCAACUUGCCACUAAGGGCCUCUAAGCCUGCAGGCCGGGGGUGGUAGGGAGUCCCCAGGGGAAAAGGAAGGGGGCCUUUCUGGAGCAGUGUGAAGUGCACCAGAAGAGUCAGACAGGAUUUGGGUUCAAGACCCCACCAGGCCAUGUGACCUUGCUUUCCUCAUCUGUAAAUCAGAGUAAUAAUAUUAUCUAUCUCCCAGAGCUGUUCAGAGGCUUAAAUGAGACUGUUCAUGAAAAAGGGCUGAGUCCUUUGCUGUGCAAAAAAAUAAAUAAAUAAAAAUCCCUUCUCUGAAAUCUCCAAGCCAGGAGAGGUUUUCCUCUCAUCAUUUUAGGGUUAACUUGCUUAUCCAGGAGUUGGUCUCUCAGCUAAGAAGUUGCAGAGUUGGGAUUUGAACGCACAAUUUUCUAGUGCCAAUGUCCCAGCUCUAACCACUAGGAAACACUGCCUCCUUGGGCCGAGGGAGUUAAGUCCCACUGCUAGGUGUGCAAGGAACCCUGGUGGCACAAACAGUUAAGCAUUUGGCUGCUAACUGAAAGGUUCGUGGUUCUAUCCACUCAGUGGCUCUGUAGCAGAGAGACCUGGCCAUCUACUUCCGUAAAGAUUACUGCUGGAAAGACCCCAUGGGGCAGUUCUACCCUGUCACACGGGGUCACCGUGAGUCAUCAUCGACUCGAUGGCACCUAACAACAACAGCAAAGGGUGCGUGUUUAGGGCAGGGAGGCCAGCAGAGCUUCUUAGUCCAGGGGGCUACUUACCUUUCUGGAACAGCUUCUGGACUUUAUAAUCUCUCUGCUUUCCGAGCACCUGAGGAGAAUCUAGGGACAGAGCAGGGGAUCUGGGAAUAGGCCAUGGUCACUGGCCCGGGCAGCAGUAAUCUCCAAAAGGCUUGAAGUCUUUUCCAAACAAAGCGGUGCUGCUUUGCCUCAUUGCUUGUGUAGGAUUUCCACUGAGUCGGCAAACAGGAGAGCUGAGUUCACAUCUCAGAGCUGCCCCUUUUUAGCCAGCUGACCUUGCACCAGUCACUUCUCCCCUCUGAGCCUCAGUUUCCUCAACCGUAUAAUGGGGUUAAGGAUAGCUGCAGCCUGUGAGAAUUUUAGCAUGUUAUAUAGGCAAAGUGCCUGGUGAAUGCCCGCAAUUGUUAGAGCAUCCUGGCUGACUAAGGUUGGAAGGGGUUGGCUUGUGAGGGAAGGUGGUGUGCAAGAGGAAGCUGGGGUCCUCCUAGGGUCCCUGAGAGAGAGCCCCUUGUGGCAGAGCUGGGAACCUCAGCUCCUGCAUUUUCCCAGAUCAGCAAGGGUCAGAGCAAGGCCAGGGGCCCCGGAGGCGCACCGAGAAGAGCAGGGAGCAGAGGUUCUCACCUUGGUUCGGCCAGGUGGAAGGGAAAGAAGGGAGGAAGUCAGGGCUUCUGGGAGACCAGAGGGGCAGCCAGUGCAUGACUCCAGACACACAAUCCCCCGAGGCCCCAUUCCAUGACCUUAUUUGCCUCAUUGCAAACUUUCAAAGUAGCUGAUGUUUCCCCUUAUUUUCCAAAUGGGGAAACCAAGGCUCAAGGAGGCAAGUUCACUUGCCAUGGCGUCUGUCUGGCUCUGCGGUCUGGACUCCAGUAGUCACUUAGCUAAUCUGCCUAACAAGGUUUCGAGUCAAGCAGUGUGAUCCUCUUUCUACAGACAAGGAAACUGAGGCUCAGAGGGAUUCCGGGCCCUGUCACUCUCUCCCAAGAGCCCUGAGCCCUAGGCAGACAGCUAUGCCCUCUGGCAUCACCAGGCGACUCAGAGUUCCGGACCCCAGGCUGAGGAGGAUUUGCUCUCAGUGACAGCAGAGACUCCUGGGGUAAGGGAGUGAGCUCACCGUUUCAGGAAGGCUUCAAGUAGAGGUGUUCUGAGUCUCCACCAAGGUACCCAACAGCCAAGGAACAGGAGGAUCCCCUGGACAUUUGGGAGCAUGGCUCAGCUCAUAGUGACCCCAAAAUGAACUAAUUUUUUUCUGCAAUUCUUUAUAUUUUAUCUUAAAAAUUCACACAAAUAUGCAACUUUCUCCUUAGGAAAUGUUUUUGUUUUCGUAGGAAAAAAAAAAAAGUUUCCCCCGCAGUCUUCUACCUGAGUGGAUGCUCCAGGAAGACAUGGCAUGGCUAACUCCUGUGGCCGGAUCUCCUGCCUGUACCUGGAACCCCAGGCUCCUCGGGCCCCCAGCUCAGGCCCUUCUCCUGGCUUGAGAGAACUGUAGGGACUGGGUUAAAGAAAGACCUGCCUGUUCUCACAGUCUAGGGCUGUCCCCAUCUCUGCUCCAUGCUCGCUCCUCUGGCCCAGCCCUAUCAUCUUCUCUCUGCAGACAUUGGUCCAUUCCAGCCCCUGUCCCACCGGGGAUUCUCCAGAUGCCUCCCCAUCCCCCCCCCUUCAUCCCCUGAGGGUCCUUGGUCCAGGAGAUGCUCCCUGUCUUCACUCCUCCCCAUUAGAUAGCUGACCAUCCACCUCCACAGACCAGCACACAACUCAGGGAUAUUUGUGCCAUGAGGAGGAAACUGAGGCCCAGAGACGGGUGUGCCUAGCCCCAGGUGCCUGGUGAGGAGGGUUGGGAUGCCCAGGGGGUGUCUCUGGGCAGGUGGGGGUGCCUCGGCCUGAGAAGAGGGCACCGGGUCUGGGCACUGGCCAGGGAGGCAGGAGAGAGGGGGAAGGCUGCGGGGCACUCAGGGGCUGCUGCCUGGCAGGUCCCCGUGCCCAGGGUAGGGAAGUUUCUUAUUUCUCCUGCUCCGACUUCCCCCUUUGAUUUAUAAUAGCCAUGAAAUGCUCUGCUCUCUUCUCUUUUCCUUGCUGUCCCCGGGGCCGGAGGAGCAGAGGCCUCCUCGGGCACCAGGCCUUGGCCUUGAUGGACCCUCAUCUCCCUCCAAGGGCUGAGCCUGGGGGAGCCAGAAAUGGGAGCCAAGAUCCAUCUGACACUGGCGAUGAUAUCCCACGUUCCACGUCCUCUUCUGAAUCCGGCUUGAAUUCCUGGCAGCUCCCCGUCGAUGUUCUGCAGCAAUUGUUUUUGAAUUAUUUUCAGCAAAAUUUGAUAUCGUUUGAUAAUUUUUGAAUUCUACUGAAUCAUCUUUCUUUGGAAUGGGCACAAAUAUGGAUCUUUUCUAGUCAGUUGACAGGUAGCUGUCUUCUGAGUAUCUUGGCAUAGACGAGUGAGCGCUUCCAGUGCUGCAUCUGUUUGUUGAAAUGCCUCAACUGGUGUUCCGUCAAUUCCUGGAGCCUUGUUUUUUGCCAAGGCCUUCCGCGCAGUUUGGACUUGGACUUCUUCCUUCAGUACCAUCAGUUUUUGUUCACGUCACCUUCUGAAACGGCUGAACAUCAAUUCUUUUUGGUACAGUAACUGCGUAUUCCUUCCAUCUUCUUUUGGUUCUUCCUGUGUCGUUAAAUUUUGUACCCAUAGAAUCCUUCAAUAUUGCAACCCAAGGCUUGAGUUUUUUCCUCAGUUCUUUCAGCUUGAGAAAUGCUGAGCAUGUUCUUCCCUUUUGGUUUUCUAACUGCAGCUCUUUGCACAUGUCAUGAUAAUGCUUUACUUUGUCUUCUCAAUCUGCCCUUUGAAAUCUUCUGUCAGCUCUUUUAUUUCAUCAUUUCUUCCUUUCACUUUAGCUACUCUACAUUCAAGAGCAAAUUUCAGAGUCUUUUCUGACCUCCAUUAUGGUCUUUUUUUCUUUCUUUCUUUCUUUCUUUUCUCUCUUUUUAAUGACCUUUUGCUUUUUUUAUGUUUGAUGUCCUUGAUGUCAUUCCACAACUUAUCUGGUCUUUGGUUAUUAGUCAAUGUGUCAAAUAUAUUCUUGAGAUAGUCUCUAAAUUCAGGUGGGAUAUACUGAAGGUUGUACUUUGGCUCUCAUGAACUUGUUUUAAUUUUCUUCAGCUUCAACUUGAACUUGCAAGUGAGCAAUUGACGGUCUGUUCCACAGUCAGCUCCUGGCCUUGUUCUGACUGAGAAUAUUGAGCUUCUCUAUCGUCUCUUCCCACAGAUGUAGUUGAUUUGAUUCCUGUGUAUUCCAUCCAGUGAGACCCAUGUGUACAGUUGCCAUUUAUAUUGUUGAAGAAAGGUAUUUCCAAUGAAAUUAUUGUUGGUCUUGCAAAAUUCUAUCUUGCGAUCUCCUGUGUUAUUUCUAUCACCAAGGCCAUAUUUUCCAACUAUUGAUUCUUCUCUUUUUCCAACUUUUGCACUCCAAUCACAAUUAUCAAUACAUCUUAAUUGCAUGUUUGAUCAAUUUUAGACUGCAGAAGUUGGUAAAAAUCUUCAAAUUCUUCAUCUUUGGCAUUAGUGGUUGGUGAGUAAAUACAUAUUAUAUACGUUAGUAUAUGUACAAAAUGUCUGCCUUUUAGAAGCAUGUGAGGAAGGAAUCAGUUUAUGCAGGUAUCAAUGGGGGCUCAAGAUAUGGCAGUCCAUUUCCUCUUGCCUUUGUCAUCACCCACAAGCACUUCAUAAGCACUGCUGUGGGUAGAAGCUCAGCUUGGGUCUCAGGCAGACCUAGGAUUAAGUCUUACCUGGACCUCGGGUUGGCUGAGCAACCCUGUGCAAGUCUCGCCCUGCCUCUGAGCCUCAGUUUCCUCAUCUGUACUAUGGGGAUGAUAAUGGCACCAACUUUACAUAUGAUAAGAGGGAAUAAACCCUGCAAGUCAAAGCCUAAAGUCAAAGCCAAGGCCCCUCUCCUCUCUGACCUCACCCCUCCCAUGGGCUCUGCUCACACUGGCCUCCAUGUUCCUGGAGCAGACUCCUGCCUGCAGCUGUCACACUGGCCUUUCCCUCUGCCUGGAAGGCUCCUUCCAGAUACAUACUUGGCUCUAUCUCUCACUUGCUUCCAGGGUUUGUCAAAUGUCACCUUCUGAUGAGGCAUCCCGGUCCACCCUCUUUAAUACUAUGACGUUCCCCCACCCUGCUCAGCCCCUAUUUCUAACCCACCUUAUCUACUUCCUAUAGCACUUGCUACCUUCUACCAUGCAGGGAAAUGUGCUCACCUAUUGUGUUUAUCACCUGCCUUCCCCUGCUAGGGUGGAAGCCUCAUGAGGGCAGAGUUAUCUGCCUGUUUGGUUGUCUGGCACACAAAGGCCCUCAGUAAAUAUCUGUUAGAUGUCCUAAUGCACUAAAGAGUCAGCCCAGUGCUGUGACCAGAGCUUGGGGAGCUUCAAGGGGCCCAUGCGACCCAAUCUGGGGCCCAAGGAGCCUCUCCCAGUGUCUCAACAGUGAGAGGAAGUUGCAAGACGGCCAUUUCUGUACACGCUGUUCAUGGCUCAGCUCUUUUUGGCAAACUUUCCCAGCUCUUCGUGUGAGGCUUUCGUUUUCCCAUAUGCCCUGUCACCCCCGGGGGGACCUGUUGCUAGAAAAGAGGAGACCAUUGUUUCCUUCUUUUGGAGUUCCUUUGGGCUGAGGUGUAGAGGACUUCAGGGCCAGAGGUUGUGGCCCCUUGGUGGACUCAGCUUGGACGACAUAGCACCCACGUUUCCUGUUGCCUUCCUACCCUGCAAAUUGCAUUAACACAACUCUGCCCCCACAGUGGCCCAGCCCAGUGAGGGCAAAGGGCACCACAUCACCCGGGCCGGCCCAGCCUUCCUGUCACUCUGGAGGCCCCAGCCCUCCCAGGUCACCCUCUUGGCCAUCCACCCAUCCAUAAAGAACCCAGCUACCAUCUGGCUCUGCCCACCCUCAGGUCUGACCUAAAGCCCUUAUUGGGAGGUUAAGGUGGUACAACAUUUACUAACGGCGAUGUGGCAAUUUAUCUAUCUAUCUACCUAUCACCUAUCAUCAUUACCUAUCAUCAUUUAUCUCAAAAUAAAAAAUGCACUGCCCUUCAACCCAGAAAUUCCAUUUUUGUAAAAUAACAUAUGUUAUUGAUUUCAGUCCCGGUGACUGAAGGAGCCCUGGUUGCACAAUGGUUAAACACUUGGCUGCUAACCAAAAGGUUGGUGGUUCAAACCCUCCACAGGAGAAAAGACCCAGUGAUUUGCUCCCAUAAAGAUUUACAGCCUAGGAAACCCUACGGGGCACUUCUACUCUGUCCUAUAGGGUUGCUAUGAGUUGGAAUCGACUCUUUGGCACACAACAACAACGACAUUGAUUGCAGCACGAUUUGUAACAGCAGAAAACUGGAAACAGCCUGAAUGUCCACCAAUAAAAGACUGGUGAAAUAAAUGAUAACAAUGGAACACCACAGAGCGAUCAAAACAGGCUAUAGCUACGUGCAGCAACGUGGUUGAAAAAAGAAGUAGGACCCAAAAGAAUACAUAUACUCUGAUUCCAUUUAUAUAAAGAUUGAAUUUUGAUAUGAUAAAAACUAAACUACACUGUUGGGUAUGCUUAUCUAAGUGGUAAAAGUAUAAAGAAAAGCAAGAAGUGAUUACUGAAAAAAUUAGGAUGGUGUUACUUGUGGAGAGAGGGAGGAGGUUGUAAGGGGGCAUUUGGGAUGCUUCCUGCAUUCUGGCAAUGUUUUAUUUCUUGACCUGGAUGGUGGUGACAUAGGUGUUGGCUUUAUAAUUAUUCUUUAAACUGUACAGAAAUGUUUUAUGUACUAUGCCAUAGGAAUGGCAUCUCACAGCACGUCCAGACGGUGGAAUACUAUAGACUCAAUGAGAAGGAAAAGGGAGCUUUCUAUAUAAGGAUGGGAAUCCCUGGGUGGGGCAAAUGGUUAACGCACUUAGCUACUAACCGAAAGGUUGGAGGUUCAAGUCCAGCCAGGGGUACCUCAGAAGAAAGACCUGGUGAUCUGAAGAAUCAGCCAUUGAAACCCCUGCGGAGCACAGUUCUACUCUGACAUGCGUGGGGUCACCCUGAGUGGGAAGGUAUUCAACGGAAACUGGAACUGGGUAUGUAAGAUUGUGGAAUGGAUUUGUGGGGAACAAAGCAAAAAAACCCAAGGAGCAUGCUAUCUUUCGUGUAAAAAAAAAAACUUUACACGUCUGC